GCCCACUUCACUCAGUUAUGGACUUGCUGUCCUUGCCACUUUUCGUAUCACCCGCCAAAAUUAGAGCUCUCGAUUAAAGUGAGUUUGCACAAGUUGGCUGACCCUACAACAUCCUUCUAAAUCUACUCUCUUUAUAAGUACAGAGACAACUUAUAUUCCCCAUAAGUAAUAAUAAUUUUUGUCAAUUGGCAAAAAAUUCAUGAACUAACUCACAUACUUUGAGCAAAUGUAAAGAAAAACUUAGAGGAUUCUGCAUGUUUAGAUAGAGCAAAUUGCAGUAGAAAUUUGAAACAUUUGCAUUAAGGUAGAAACAGUCUGUAUAAAUAGUUCUAUUAAUAUUCAGACUCUUGGUUUAGUACUGAUAAUAAAAAAAAAAGUUUAGCAAGGCCAUGUUUUAAGUUCUUUGAAAUUACUGGCAAAGCAUUUGCUUGUGUAUUGGGGAUAACAUUUGAUUCUCUUGUAUGUUUUCCUUAUUCUGUUAAUACUGGUUAAAAAAUGGGGCCCCACUCAGAUUAAUUUAGUAUUCCGGGGCCACAAACUAGCCAUUUCUGUCCUUUCAGGUAAUAUAGAUUAAAAAGUACAUGUGAGCUGGGUGUGGUGGCACACAUCUGUAAUCCCAGCAACACAGAAACCUGAGGCUGGAGGAUCCACAAGUUCAAUGCCAGCCUUCGUGAUUUAGCAAGGCCCUAAGAAGCUUUAGUGAGCUGGGCACGUGAUUGCACAUGCCUGUAAUCCCAGUGCUAUGGGAGGCUGAAGCUGAAGGAUUAUGAGUUCAAAGACAGCCUCAGUAAUUUAGCAAGGCCUAAGCCCUGAC
RNAcentral lists this long non-coding RNA (814 nucleotides) under Marmota monax (woodchuck). The record is from RNAcentral. Lineage: Eukaryota; Metazoa; Chordata; Mammalia; Rodentia; Sciuridae.